AUAAGUUUAUCACCACCGACUAUUUGCAACAGUGCC
Molecule: ribosomal RNA, 36 nt
Filed under: Escherichia coli 3-105-05_S4_C3
Lineage: Bacteria; Pseudomonadati; Pseudomonadota; Gammaproteobacteria; Enterobacterales; Enterobacteriaceae
Description: partial 23S ribosomal RNA
Source: RNAcentral